ACAAAUGCCCUGCUUCCAGGAAAAGCCUCUAAGCAUCAGGUAACAUCAAAUCGUACCCCAAACCGACACAGGUGGUCAGGUAGAGAAUACCAAGGCGCUUGAGAGAACUCGGGUGAAGGAACUAGGCAAAAUGGUGCCGUAACUUCGGGAGAAGGCACGCUGAUAUGUAGGUGAAGUGAUUUACUCAUGGAGCUGAAAUCAGUCGAAGAUACCAGCUGGCUGCAACUGUUUAUUAAAAACACAGCACUGUGCAAACACGAAAGUGGACGUAUACGGUGUGACGCCUGCCCGGUGCCGGAAGGUUAAUUGAUGGGGUUAUCCUUAGGGAGAAGCUCUUGAUCGAAGCCCCGGUAAACGGCGGCCGUAACUAUAACGGUCCUAAGGUAGCGAAAUUCCUUGUCGGGUAAGUUCCGACCUGCACGAAUGGCGUAAUGAUGGCCAGGCUGUCUCCACCCGAGACUCAGUGAAAUUGAACUCGCUGUGAAGAUGCAGUGUACCCGCGGCAAGACGGAAAGACCCCGUGAACCUUUACUAUAGCUUGACACUGAACACUGGUCCUUGAUGUGUAGGAUAGGUGGGAGGCUUUGAAGUGUGGACGCCAGUCUGCAUGGAGCCAACCUUGAAAUACCACCCUUUAAUGGCUGGUGUUCUAACGUGGGCCCGUGAUCCGGGUUGCGGACAGUGUCUGGUGGGUAGUUUGACUGGGGCGGUCUCCUCCUAAAGAGUAACGGAGGAGCACGAAGGUUAGCUAAUCCUGGUCGGACAUCAGGAGGUUAGUGCAAAGGCAUAAGCUAGCUUGACUGCGAGCGUGACGGCGCGAGCAGGUGCGAAAGCAGGUCUUAGUGAUCCGGUGGUUCUGAAUGGAAGGGCCAUCGCUCAACGGAUAAAAGGUACUCCGGGGAUAACAGGCUGAUACCGCCCAAGAGUUCAUAUCGACGGCGGUGUUUGGCACCUCGAUGUCGGCUCAUCACAUCCUGGGGCUGAAGUAGGUCCCAAGGGUAUGGCUGUUCGCCAUUUAAAGUGGUACGCGAGCUGGGUUUAGAACGUCGUGAGACAGUUCGGUCCCUAUCUGCCGUGGGCGCUGGAGAAUUGAGGGGGGCUGCUCCUAGUACGAGAGGACCGGAGUGGACGCAUCACUGGUGUUCGGGUUGUCAUGCCAAUGGCACUGCCCGGUAGCUAAAUGCGGAAAAGAUAAGUGCUGAAAGCAUCUAAGCACGAAACUUGCC
Molecule: ribosomal RNA, 1226 nt
Filed under: Citrobacter farmeri
Lineage: Bacteria; Pseudomonadati; Pseudomonadota; Gammaproteobacteria; Enterobacterales; Enterobacteriaceae
Description: partial 23S ribosomal RNA
Rfam family: Bacterial large subunit ribosomal RNA
Source: RNAcentral